Molecule: non-coding RNA, 72 nt
Organism: Parelaphostrongylus tenuis
Lineage: Eukaryota; Metazoa; Nematoda; Chromadorea; Rhabditida; Metastrongylidae
Source: the annotation of a GenBank genome assembly
GCCUCGAUAGUGCAGUAGGUUAGCACGCGCCCCCGGAAAGGGGAAAUGCGGGUUCGAUUUCCGUCCGAGAUU